UCUGGUGAUCAUGCCGGAGGGGUUCCACCCGUUCCCAUCUCGAACACGGAAGUUAAGACCUCCAGGGCCAAUGAUACUUGGGGCGCAAGCCCCUGGGAAAGCAGGUCAUCGCCAGGU
RNAcentral lists this ribosomal RNA (117 nucleotides) under Desulfosporosinus sp. BRH_c37. Lineage: Bacteria; Bacillati; Bacillota; Clostridia; Eubacteriales; Desulfitobacteriaceae. The record is from RNAcentral.